UGGGGAAUAUUGCACAAUGGGCGCAAGCCCGAUGCAGCCAUGCCGCGUGUAUGAAGAAGGCCUUCGGGUUGUAAAGUACUUUCAGCGGGGCGGAAGGCGAUAAGGUUAAUAACCUUGUCGAUUUACGUUACCCGCAGAAGAAGCACCGGCUAACUCCGUGCCAGCAGCCGCGGUAAUACGGAGGGUGCAAGCGUUAAUCGGAAUUACUGGGCGUAAAGCGCACGCAGGCGGUCUGUCAAGUCGGAUGUGAAAUCCCCGGGCUCAACCUAGGAACUGCAUUCGAAACUGGCAGGCUAGAGUCUUGUAGAGGGGGGUAGAAUUCCAGGUGUAGCGGUGAAAUGCGUAGAGAUCUGGAGGAAUACCGGUGGCGAAGGCGGCCCCCUGGACAAAGACUGACGCUCAGGUGCGAAAGCGUGGGGAGCAAACA
Molecule: ribosomal RNA, 427 nt
Filed under: uncultured bacterium
Lineage: Bacteria
Description: partial 16S ribosomal RNA
Rfam family: Bacterial small subunit ribosomal RNA
Source: RNAcentral